Molecule: ribosomal RNA, 1400 nt
Filed under: uncultured bacterium
Lineage: Bacteria
Description: bacterial SSU rRNA
Rfam family: Bacterial small subunit ribosomal RNA
Source: RNAcentral
AGAGUUUGAUCCUGGCUCAGGAUGAACGCUAGCUACAGGCUUAACACAUGCAAGUCGAGGGGCAGCAUGGUCUUAGCUUGCUAAGGCCGAUGGCGACCGGCGCACGGGUGAGUAACGCGUAUCCAACCUGCCUUACACUCUUGGACAGCCUUCUGAAAGGGAGAUUAAUACAAGAUGUUAUCAUGAGUAAGCAUUUUCGCAUGAUUAAAGGUUUACCGGUGUAAGAUGGGGAUGCGUUCCAUUAGAUAGUAGGCGGGGUAACGGCCCACCUAGUCUUCGAUGGAUAGGGGUUCUGAGAGGAAGGUCCCCCACAUUGGAACUGAGACACGGUCCAAACUCCUACGGGAGGCAGCAGUGAGGAAUAUUGGUCAAUGGACGAGAGUCUGAACCAGCCAAGUAGCGUGAAGGAUGAAGGUUCUAUGGAUUGUAAACUUCUUUUAUACGGGAAUAAACGGAUCCACGUGUGGAUUUUUGCAUGUACCGUAUGAAUAAGGAUCGGCUAACUCCGUGCCAGCAGCCGCGGUAAUACGGAGGAUCCGAGCGUUAUCCGGAUUUAUUGGGUUUAAAGGGAGCGUAGAUGGGUUGUUAAGUCAGUUGUGAAAGUUUGCGGCUCAACCGUAAAAUUGCAAUUGAUACUGGCAGUCUUGAGUACAGUUGAGGUAGGCGGAAUUCGUGGUGUAGCGGUGAAAUGCUUAGAUAUCACGAAGAACUCCGAUUGCGAAGGCAGCUUACUAACCUGUAACUGACAUUGAUGCUCGAAAGUGUGGGUAUCAAACAGGAUUAGAUACCCUGGUAGUCCACACGGUAAACGAUGAAUACUCGCUGUAGGCGAUAUACAGUCUGCGGCCAAGCGAAAGCAUUAAGUAUUCCACCUGGGGAGUACGCCGGCAACGGUGAAACUCAAAGGAAUUGACGGGGGCCCGCACAAGCGGAGGAACAUGUGGUUUAAUUCGAUGAUACGCGAGGAACCUUACCCGGGCUUAAAUUGCAACCGAAUAUGGCGGAAACGCUAUAGCUAGCAAUAGCGGUUGUGAAGGUGCUGCAUGGUUGUCGUCAGCUCGUGCCGUGAGGUGUCGGCUUAAGUGCCAUAACGAGCGCAACCCUUGCCGAUAGUUACUAACAGGUUAUGCUGAGGACUCUGUCGGGACUGCCAUCGUAAGAUGUGAGGAAGGUGGGGAUGACGUCAAAUCAGCACGGCCCUUACGUCCGGGGCUACACACGUGUUACAAUGGGGGGUACAGAGGGCUGCUACCACGCAAGUGGAUGCCAAUCCCAAAAACCUCUCUCAGUUCGGAUUGAAGUCUGCAACCCGACUUCAUGAAGCUGGAUUCGCUAGUAAUCGCGCAUCAGCCACGGCGCGGUGAAUACGUUCCCGGGCCUUGCACUCACCGCCCGUCAAG